CCUACGGUGAGCAGCAGUGAGGAAUAUUGGUCAAUGGACGCAAGUCUGAACCAGCCAUGCCGCGUGCAGGAAGACGGCUCUAUGAGUUGUAAACUGCUUUUGUACGAGGGUAAACGCAGAUACGCGUAUCUGUCUGAAAGUAUCGUACGAAUAAGGAUCGGCUAACUCCGUGCCAGCAGCCGCGGUAAUACGGAGGAUUCAAGCGUUAUCCGGAUUUAUUGGGUUUAAAGGGUGCGUAGGCGGUCGGAUAAGUUAGAGGUGAAAUCCCGAGGCUCAACUUCGGAAUUGCCUCUGAUACUGUUCGGCUAGAGAGUAGUUGCGGUAGGCGGAAUGUAUGGUGUAGCGGUGAAAUGCUUAGAGAUCAUACAGAACACCGAUUGCGAAGGCAGCCUCCUGGGACAUAACUGACGCUCAGGCACGAAAGCGUGGGGAGCAAACAGGAUUAGAUACCCCUGUAGUC
RNAcentral lists this ribosomal RNA (460 nucleotides) under uncultured bacterium. Its description in RNAcentral is "partial 16S ribosomal RNA". It matches the Rfam family "Bacterial small subunit ribosomal RNA", at positions 338 to 795 of the family's 1533-position model. The record is from RNAcentral.